AGGAUGAACACAGUCACUCGAACCACAGGAUGUGAAUAAUGAGAUCCUGGUGAGUAGGCUACCUGGAGGAUCACAACUAUACAGAUACUGGCACUUUAAAGUGAAAACUAGAAAAGGAAGGAACUGUGUGGCGGGAAAUGUGGCACAGACUUGGACAUGUCCUACUUGAUCUAUCUGAGGCCCCAUUUAUGAGGUUGUCCCACUGGCAACUGGACAUAGUAUUCUGGUAUUCAGGAGAGAGGUCUAACUGAAGAUGAAAAUGUGGAACGUAUCAACAUUUCAUACCUGAGCCCAUCACAGUAAACAAACUAAGAGUGAAAGGAAAAAAGGAACAAGUACAGAAUCUAUAGAAACACGAAUAUUUACAUAGAAGAUAAGUAGACUGUAAAGAUAAAGAAGAAAUGUUGAGUUUAUCCCAUGAAUAAAAGAAAGCAGAAUAUUAAUAAAUCUACUAAUGUAAUUCAUCAUACUUGUAGUACUAUAGAGAAGAGUCUUUUGAAAAUCAACAUGGACAUUGAGAACGGACUUUUAGAAACACAUUCUGGGUUUCUAAUUCUGCACCAAAAGAUCUUGGAGGUCAUCACUCCAUCCUAACUACAACUAUAAAGCCUACAAAGAGACCAAAAAACCCAACUCUUCUUGCAUCUGUAAAACUAUAAGACAGCAUUUCAAUGUUGGUGCCAACAAGCCCUCAUGUUGCAUGAAAUUUAGCAGUUUUUUCCUUAGGUUCCAUUUGAAUCACGUAACUAAUGUGACUGAAUUUUUGCCAUGCCAUCAGAAAUACCAGAGACAAAUUUAUACUAAAUUUCGAUGACUCAAAGAUCGCACAAACUGCUGAUAUCUAUAUGCCAACUUUAUCUUCUUUAUGCACAUUUCCUUCAAGAGAGCACUCUGGCAGCAUAACUGAGAGAGAAGGCAGAAGGACUGGAUUAAGGUGAGAAAUGG
This is a long non-coding RNA of Tupaia belangeri chinensis (Chinese tree shrew), 945 nucleotides long. RefSeq lists it as uncharacterized. The record is from RefSeq and is a predicted model, not a curated record. The transcript has 3 exons. NCBI's taxonomy places the organism in Eukaryota, Metazoa, Chordata, Mammalia, Scandentia, Tupaiidae.